GCCGAUGUGGCUCAGCGGUAGAGCAGCUCACUCGUAAUGAGCAGGUCGUCAGUUCGAUUCUGACCAUCGGCUCCA
Molecule: transfer RNA, 75 nt
Filed under: Peptococcaceae bacterium CEB3
Lineage: Bacteria; Bacillati; Bacillota; Clostridia; Eubacteriales; Peptococcaceae
Also listed under: 1 other name
Description: tRNA-Thr
Rfam family: tRNA
About the family: Transfer RNA (tRNA) molecules are approximately 80 nucleotides in length. Their secondary structure includes four short double-helical elements and three loops (D, anti-codon, and T loops).
Source: RNAcentral